UACGUAGGUGUCGAGCGUUGUCCGGAUUUAUUGGGCGUAAAGCGCCCGCAGGCGGCUUGGCAAGUUCGAGGUGAAAUCUCCCGGCUCAACUGGGAGGGUGCCUCGGAAACUGCCAGGCUCGAGUUUGGGAGAGGGAUGCGGAAUUCCAGGUGUAGCGGUGAAAUGCGUAGAUAUCUGGAGGAACACCGGUGGCGAAGGCGGCAUCCUGGACCAACACUGACACUGAGGAGCGAAAGCCAGGGGAGCAAACGGG
RNAcentral lists this ribosomal RNA (253 nucleotides) under uncultured bacterium. RNAcentral's name for it is "partial 16S ribosomal RNA". It matches the Rfam family "Bacterial small subunit ribosomal RNA", at positions 524 to 776 of the family's 1533-position model. The record is from RNAcentral.